Molecule: long non-coding RNA, 203 nt
Filed under: Lathyrus oleraceus (garden pea)
Lineage: Eukaryota; Viridiplantae; Streptophyta; Magnoliopsida; Fabales; Fabaceae
Description: Pisum sativum (pea) long non-coding RNA (PSAT_LNC023284)
Source: RNAcentral
GUCAUUAUGUUCAAUGGGUUUAAAAAUCAACUUGCAUAAUGAUUUUUGGAUAUUGAAAAGCUUUUUAGAAAUCAAACAAGGCAAAUCAUUAUGCAUAUGAAAAGAUCGAUUUUAUUCCAUUUUUUAGGGUUUUAUGUGAUCACCAAUUUCAUGCAAAAAGCAAAAAGGGAAAAUAAUUGGAAAAACAAACAUUUAACAUGAAU